CGUAGGUGGCAAGCGUUAUCCGGAUUUACUGGGCGUAAAGCGUGUGCAGGCGGUUUAGUAAGUGGUGUAUGAAAUCUCUGCGCUUAACGUAGAGGGGUUAUGCCAGACUGCUGAACUUGAACCCAUCAGAGGGACGUGGAAUUCCGGGUGUAGUGGUGAAAUGCGUAGAGAUCCGGAGGAACACCAGAGGCGAAAGCGGCGUCCUGGGGUGAGGUUGACGCUCAGACACGAAAGCAUGGGGAGCGAACGGGAUUAGAAACCCCGGUAGUCCAUGCCGUAAACGAUGGAUACUAGCUGUUCGGAGCAAUCUGAGUGGCUAAGCGAAAGUGAUAAGUAUCCCACUGGGGAUACGUUCGCAAGAAUG
Molecule: ribosomal RNA, 364 nt
Filed under: uncultured organism
Description: bacterial SSU rRNA
Rfam family: Bacterial small subunit ribosomal RNA
Source: RNAcentral